GAGAAUAGUUCUCUGCAGUCAGUGGAUGUGAGUAGCAUCUCAGAUCCCAAGCUGUAAUUGUGAGGUCCCGUAGCAUCACUAGCAAACCAGAAACAUGUCUGCCCAGAUGCUGAAGAAAAAGAGUUUUGGAAGUACCAAAUGUCCACGGAGACUGUUCCUGUUCUCGCUCAGAGCCCUGUCCAUGCCUGGUCAUCAAUAUCAAGCUCUACCUAGUGUUUUUCUUGGUGAUUGUGAUACCAGCACCCAUUAUGCCAGCACU
Sphaerodactylus townsendi is the source of this 259-nucleotide long non-coding RNA. RefSeq lists it as uncharacterized. The transcript has 3 exons. The record is from RefSeq and is a predicted model, not a curated record. Lineage: Eukaryota; Metazoa; Chordata; Lepidosauria; Squamata; Sphaerodactylidae.